RNAcentral lists this ribosomal RNA (497 nucleotides) under uncultured bacterium. Its description in RNAcentral is "partial 16S ribosomal RNA". It matches the Rfam family "Bacterial small subunit ribosomal RNA", at positions 28 to 507 of the family's 1533-position model. The record is from RNAcentral.
GAUGAACGCUGGCGGCGUGCCUAAUACAUGCAAGUCGAGCGAACGGACGAGAAGCUUGCUUCUCUGAUGUUAGCGGCGGACGGGUGAGUAACACGUGGAUAACCUACCUAUAAGACUGGGAUAACUUCGGGAAACCGGAGCUAAUACCGGAUAAUAUUUUGAACCGCAUGGUUCAAAAGUGAAAGACGGUCUUGCUGUCACUUAUAGAUGGAUCCGCGCUGCAUUAGCUAGUUGGUAAGGUAACGGCUUACCAAGGCAACGAUGCAUAGCCGACCUGAGAGGUCGAUCGGCCACACUGGAACUGAGACACGGUCCAGGCUCCUACGGGAGGCAGCAGUAGGGAAUCUUCCGCAAUGGGCGAAAGCCUGACGGAGCAACGCCGCGUGAGUGAUGAAGGUCUUCGGAUCGUAAAACUCUGUUAUUAGGGAAGAACAUAUGUGUAAGUAACUGUGCACAUCUUGACGGUACCUAAACAGAAAGCCACGGCUAACUACGUG